This 462-nucleotide ribosomal RNA is filed under the name uncultured Acidimicrobiales bacterium. Its description in RNAcentral is "bacterial SSU rRNA". It matches the Rfam family "Bacterial small subunit ribosomal RNA", at positions 28 to 505 of the family's 1533-position model. Lineage: Bacteria; Bacillati; Actinomycetota; Acidimicrobiia; Acidimicrobiales. The record is from RNAcentral.
GACGAACGCUGGCGGCGUGCCUAAUACAUGCAAGUCGAACGAGAUCGAGUCUUCGGACUCACAUAUCUAGUGGCGAACGGGUGAGUAACACGUGAGAAACCUGCCCCGAAGAUGGGAACAACCACGGGAAACUGUGGCUAAUGCCCAAUACCUUCUUUUCACCGCAUGGUGAGCUGAAGAAAUGCUUUUGUGCUUCGGGAGGGUCUCGCGACCUAUCAGCUAGUUGGUGAGGUAACGGCUCACCAAGGCAUCGACGGGUAGCUGGUCUGAGAGGACGAUCAGCCACACUGGGACUGAGACACGGCCCAGACUCCUACGGGAGGCAGCAGUAGGGAAUCUUGCGCAAUGGGCGAAAGCCUGACGCAGCAACGCCGCGUGGGGGAUGAAGGCCCUCGGGUUGUAAACCCCUUUCAGCAGGGACGAAAAUGACGGUACCUGCAGAAGAAGGUCCGGCCAACUACG